Molecule: transfer RNA, 74 nt
Filed under: Endomicrobium sp.
Lineage: Bacteria; Pseudomonadati; Elusimicrobiota; Endomicrobiia; Endomicrobiales; Endomicrobiaceae
Description: tRNA-Arg
Rfam family: tRNA
About the family: Transfer RNA (tRNA) molecules are approximately 80 nucleotides in length. Their secondary structure includes four short double-helical elements and three loops (D, anti-codon, and T loops).
Source: RNAcentral
GCGCCCAUAGCUUAAUUGGAUAGAGCAUUUGACUACGAAUCAAAAGGUUAGAGGUUCAACUCCUCUUGGGCGCG